RNAcentral lists this transfer RNA (72 nucleotides) under Halorarum halophilum. RNAcentral describes it as "Halobaculum halophilum tRNA". It matches the Rfam family "tRNA". From Rfam's summary of the family: Transfer RNA (tRNA) molecules are approximately 80 nucleotides in length. Their secondary structure includes four short double-helical elements and three loops (D, anti-codon, and T loops). Lineage: Archaea; Methanobacteriati; Methanobacteriota; Halobacteria; Halobacteriales; Haloferacaceae. The record is from Rfam by way of RNAcentral.
ACGCUCGUAGCUCACUGGUAGAGCACUCCGCUGAUAACGGAGGGGAAGCUGGUUCAAUUCCAGUCGGGCGUA